RNA transcript from Cucumis melo (muskmelon), 3441 nucleotides. RefSeq lists it as uncharacterized. The transcript has 3 exons. The record is from RefSeq and is a predicted model, not a curated record. NCBI's taxonomy places the organism in Eukaryota, Viridiplantae, Streptophyta, Magnoliopsida, Cucurbitales, Cucurbitaceae.
UUGAAGACCCAAACACGGGCUUGAAGAAAAUCCCUCUUCUUCUCUCUUCUUCUUCUUCUUCUUCUUCUUCUUCUUCUUCUUCUUCUUCUUCUCUAUUUUUCUUCCGACUCUACCUUCAAUGGCGGUUUCUUCUAGAAAAUCAAGCGGGCCGGUUCUGAGGUCUCUCUCACCUUCUGGGAGAUUCUACGGCUCCUGUUCUUCUUAUUCCUCUUCUUCCUCAUCGGCUUUUGCCUCUUCCACAUCAAGCUUUUCCACUACAGACCAUACUUCGUUUUUCCGUAGAUCUGUGUCUCCUUCUCGCGUUAAUCUGCAAGGAUCCUCUUCUCCGUCCGCGUCAUCGGUGAGAUUUUCGCUGGACCGGUCUAUUUCUCCCAAUCGCCCUAUCUCUGUUUUGUCUCGUGCCACUGGGAAUCAUCAAGUAGUGAAGAAGCAGAGCCACCAGAAGAGGACGUGCAUGUGUUCACCAACCACACAUCCUGGUUCGUUCCGGUGUAGUCUUCACAAGGGCGUUCAGUCCCACCCUUCUACUCCUUACUCAUCUAAUCGGCUCAACGCACGGAGAUCGGCGAUGACGAACUCUCUGGUUAGAAUUGGAGGAGUUGAAGGGGAUAUAUUGAGGCGUGCCUUGGCGUCUCUCAUCAGACCUUCGUCUCAUAGUCAAAGACGCCGAGUGGAUUUCUGUCCAAGACCGAGUCGUCUUUCAAUUAUGUCGAAAGCUGAUGAUCUGUGAUGGAGAUUUUGGUACGUUGGCCAAUAACCUCUGGUUUAUUAAUCUUUUUACCUCUUCUCUGAGUUUUCAACGACGAAGACGGCGGAUUCAACCACAGGUUCGAUGGCAGGGAUACAGAGUCGGAGGCGAAGCUUGAGAAUCGAGAAUCGGAUCUGAUGGCCUCUACACUACACCUCGUUCCCGGAGUUGAACUAGACAACCUAUAAUUUGUGUCUUCUAAUUCCAAAAGGCAUGAUUCAAAUUUAUUUGCGUCUUCAUUGUUGUUACGUUUGUUCGUUCCACUCGAUUCGUAUUGUUACCAGAACAUACGUGUUUGACAUUAUUUGGUUCGGCGUUCAUCAUCUCCUUCCUUCUGCUGAUCGUCAGAUUCAAAUUAAAGCCGUUAUACGUUUAGUCAAAGACUAUGCAAUUGCAGGUUGAAUUUUGUGAUCUGAACGUAGGCUUGAUUGACGUUGGGGGAAAUUUGGAUGAAGUUAUGAACAAGGACACACUUGAUGGAACUCUUGACAUAGACUGAACAAUUAAAAAUUCAAACUAAUUGGGAUCAAAUCAUAGAGUUAAAAUUAAGUAAAAUAAUUUAGGAGUUGAAUAGAAAUGAAAUUGAAGAAUAUGAAGAUCGAUGAUUGUUGACCUGUCAAGUUCUAAAUCGGUGGAAGGAACCGACGUCUAUUUGCCAUGAAGAAUCAAUCAAAAUCAAAUCUCUAUCAGAUAAUCAUAAAAAAAAAAAAUUUGGGAUAUUGAGAAAUCGAUUAUGAAUGCGGCUUUUCAGUUGAAGAAUGUCCCUUUGAGAAGGGAAGAGCUGUCUACGUAAUUAGGAGAGGAUAUAACUUUUUGGAGGAGAGGAAAUUAUUAAGAAGAUGAACAUAAAGACUAUAACUUGAAAUUUGGGCUAAAUAUUUGACUUGGUGUUACAACAAGGCUUAGUCGAAUUCAAGUUGAUGUCAUGGUUUCUGUUUGAUAUGGGUUUGGUUCCAUCUCUUAAAGAAGCCAAUACCAAAGUUGGAGCUGAGUUGUUUGUUCAUUAUUAGUUCAACAGCCCUGUGGGGUCUCUUCAACUUUUGACUUUGACUUCCUGGUCCAUUGGAGUGAGAUUUGAGGGGUGUGGGGGUGUUUGGGCCAAAGGGGUUGAAGGUAGCUAGGAAGUGUCAGUUUAUGGCUUACAACUAAAAAGCAUCAUGUUGGUAUAGAGUUUAGAAUUCUCUAGAUUUCACAACGGUAGGAUUAAUAUGUUAGAGAAAUUGUGAAAAAUAGAUUUUUUCGAUGGCACCGACUUGUGAGUUCGAUCGGUGGACGGAAAGAGCGACUGAGGUAUCAUCAUGAAAUGGGGGUGUAAUUGGGGCUUGUGGGUAAUUGAACUCAAAAUUUGUUGCGUAGGGAAAAUUGAUACUCAACUUGGAGAUGAAAGGAAGAAGAGAAGGAUGGGACUCUAAAAUGGUUGAAAAAGGAAGUAGGCAAAGGCGGAAUACGAUAAGGUGACAAUAAGAGUGAAAAUGAAAGGUAUGUGGCCGUUUUCUCUUCUCCCAACCCCAUCAUCAUUAUCGUUAUCAUUAUCAUCAUCUUUAUCCAUUUUCAACAUUGUAUUUCUUCUUUUAUCCUUUCAAACUACUUAAAAGAAACAAUUAAAUCAAUUUAAAUGUAAUAGUUAGGCAAAUGUUGGUCAUCCAUGAAUCCUUCCACACCUACACUACCGUCCUUUAUUUUUUAAUUUCUUCAAAAAAAAAAAAAAAGGUAUUUUUGGAACAAAUGUUUCAUUUGUCACCUUUUACGACUUAGUCUUUGGGCUUAAUUAAGAAUUUAUUAUUUUAUUGUUGAAAUUUUAGGAAUUAGUAAGAUGGGGGGAAGAGAAAAUGUGUGUACUUAAUUAUUGUUGUAAGACAGAUGGUAUGAUAUGGUGGUGAGUGACAUGUCUAUUAUAUGAUUUUAAAUAAUUUAGGGAAUCAAUCGCAAAAGAUAUGGUUGAUAUAUUUUUCAAGUUAUGUCAUUUUGUUUUGUAUUAUAUUAGGUGGGAAGAGGAGGAGCAAAGGACCCACCGAAUCCACCGACUUAUGAGCUUUUUAAUUUUCUCACUAUACCAAAUAACAAUUUACCAGAUCAUUUGGUUACAUUUGUUUGGAAUGCCAUUGGCAAGGGCUUGAAGGGGGGUGGAUGGAGUUAAUUACGUGGAGGUUGAAACCUCACUUUCAAUGUAUUUAGAUGAGUACAGUUUUUGAGGAUUUGGGGUUAGUGGUUUUGGUUUGAGUUUGAAGUUUGAAGUGUUUUAACUUAUUUAAAAGAAGAGACUUUUAUGGUUGAUGGUAGUGGAUCUUGUUUGUAUACCAUCCGUUGGGGAUUGCUCGAGAGUGUGCAUUUGAUGUGGUGUCGAGUCAACUAUACAUUUUGGAUCAUAGUUCAAGAGGUUGAAGAGCACUAGCUGGUGCUAACUUUAACCACAAGCUUGUGCAAAGAUAUUCACUCGACAUCCAUGGUGUUAAUAUUCUGGUCAAUCUGUGGUUUUAACAAAUUCCAGCACGGCAUAGUUUCUCAAACCAGGAGAGUUUAGUGGGUUGUGUUAGUCUGCUCAUAUUUUGGGGUCAUCUAGGAUUAUUUUACAUUCUUUUUUCACUAUUUUACGUUCUUUUUUUUUUCUCUAUUUUUUUACUUUUUUCUAUUUUCCUGCUUUUUUCUUCUUUCUACUUUAAUUUAUUUAUUUAUAAUACUUUUUUUUUAUUUCA